UACGUAGGGUGCGAGCGUUGUCCGGAAUUAUUGGGCGUAAAGAGCUCGUAGGCGGCUUGUCGCGUCGAAUGUGAAAACUCGGGGCUCAACUCCGAGCUUGCAUUCGAUACGGGCAGGCUAGAGUUCGGUAGGGGAGACUGGAAUUCCUGGUGUAGCGGUGAAAUGCGCAGAUAUCGGGAGGAACACCAAUGGCGAAGGCAGCUUGCUGGGACGUAACUGACGCUGAGGAGCGAAAGCGUGGGGAGCGAACAGG
This 253-nucleotide ribosomal RNA is filed under the name uncultured bacterium. RNAcentral's name for it is "partial 16S ribosomal RNA". It matches the Rfam family "Bacterial small subunit ribosomal RNA", at positions 524 to 776 of the family's 1533-position model. The record is from RNAcentral.